UUCUAAACAUGUGAAAAAUUAAUUACAAUAUAGUACCUCCAUCUUUAACUUAGUCAUGCAAGUUGUGACGCCCCCAAAAUAGGUAUACAUCACCCAUCUUGGGUCGCUAGAAAAUACACUACUUACAACUCCAUUUAUACAAUUGUCGUGCAAAAUACAACGACUCAUAUACUAAGUUUCAAUACAAAUAUUGUUACGUAUAUAAUACGACAAUAUUUAUAUUUAAAUUAUUACAAUGCCAUAUAAAGUACAGCAGCAAGUAUAUCAAGUCCCUAAAGGGACACAAGAAGAUUUCUGUUCUCCUCAUUCUAAUGGAGUGCACCUUUGACGCUUCCAAAUUCUGAUUUCGCCUCACCCUAUUGUUGUUCACAAAAAUUAAAUAUCAAAUGAUGUAUAAAACAUGUCACACCCAUUUUAAGUUCUCAGUACAAUUAUUAUGCCACACCGUUUCAUAAUUUGGUUAGGCUUGUGACUAAUUCGUAUACCACUUUAUACCCAUGUUCUCCCUGCUAGUCCCAGCUACACUUUUAUUACCUGAAAGGGGUGGUGAAGUAAAAGGGUGAGCACAACUAACUCAGUAAAGAAUAUCAUGACUUAAGAUAAUUAAAUUAUCAAAAGGAUUCAGAUAUUUAUAACAUAUGGUAAAAGAUAAAAGUUUUCAACCAUAAUAGCAACGGAAUCAACAAUCCAUUAGAAGAGUCAAGUAGAACAUAAUGUCUACUAUCUCCUUUAGAUUAAAAGUCCAUCAUUAAUAUUUCAUUCCUGUAAUACUCAUCAAUAGUUCUUUGUUAUCCACAAGACAAAGAGAAAUCUCAUCACCUGUCUUCACCUGAACCACCACAGAUUAUAAUUAAAUUCAUAAUUCAUGUUUAUAAUCAGGUAAAUCAACAGUUCAUAUAACUGUAAAAUCAAUAACCAACAGUCCAUCUUUGCACUACAGGCCAAAGAUAUACAACUGUAAAGCCAAUAAUGCUGAGACUCAACUUAGUAGUAUCACGACCACGAAUUAUCCAUGCACUACGGGCCAAGGAUAUUCGUGUUUUCAAUUACGGUCAUGAUUAUACCGAAUAAUCCUUGGUCAUAAUCAUACCAAGUUCAUCUAUGCACUACUGGCCAUAGAUGACUUUCAACACAAUAUAAACAUGAGAAUGAUGACAAAGAUAUAUAUAAUGAAUAAACAUAAAUCAUCAAAAUAAUAAGAUAACAUAGAUCUUAAUGUUUUUCAACUUAAUUAUCCAGAGUCCAAAUUGAUAAUAAUAGAUGAAUCACAAACUAUUAAGGAUAUUCUAAGUCUUUCAGGACUUUUCACCAUUUAAUGCUAAACUGAAUAAACGAAUAAUAAUAUCUUACCAUAACAUGGGGUAUGAAAGAAAAUGAUAUGCCUUUUACCAUAAAAAUGAUACCCUCUUACCACAAUAAUGAUAUCCCUUACCUUAGCAUGUGACUUGAUUAUGUUUUCUGUGAAAUUGAUCAACUUAAACGAUGCUUGCAUUCCUUAUCUACACUUAGAGUAACAUCACACUCAAUAGAAAUACUCACAAUAUUGUAGUAACGGAAUUCUAUAUUUUUAGUGUAGUGAUGGUGUGUGUUUAGUUGCUCAACCGGGCAACUUAUUUAUACUGAAAAUUUAGUAAAUAAUUAGCACACCUACUUUGACAAAAAUAACCAAAUGAGUUAUAUGGUAGUGGAGUUUAUGGUCCCACAGAGAAAAUUAGACCAACUUGUACACAUUUUAAAAAUAAUUGAGUUGUGGUCCAGACUACUUUAGAAAAAGUAGAGUGUCGACAAGUCCUGCCAACUUACUUUUGUAAAAAAGAAAAUAAUUGAAUAAUCAUCUAUAUAUCAAACUUAUCUUUAAUCAACAACUUUUAUUCAUCAAUUAUUUACGCAUUUUCAUUCUUUCAGCAAUUAUUCACCAUUAUUAACAAAGGUUCACAAUACUGCCAACUGGUUUAAUUAUAUCAUAUCAAAUAAUAUGAGUCACUGUGCAAUAACUACUGUGACAAUUAUUGAAUGAAAGACUGAGUGGCUUCUUACGUAAAAAUCAAAUCAAUACCUUGCUAUAAACAAUUUAAAUUCUAUUAAAAGUAGGGAUCAACACCAAAUCAUAUUUAUCUCGAAUAACACAUAAACCAACUAACAAUUCAUUAUUCAUUCAAGUUAUCUCUAUUUAUCGCAUAAAAUCAUUAUUCAUAUUUCAAAACUUUAGAAGUGGAUAAUUAAAACUUGAGAAAUCUAAACCUCAUAUAUGACAAUCCACUAUUGUGGUAUUAUCACUAUUUUUACUUUAACAAAAAUAUUAUUUUUGUUUUUUUAUCAUAACUCAUUCGUUACUAGUGCGUUUACAUCCUGACAUCUCAUGAGCUUACUAACACUUCUAAAAUAUUCAAAAAUAUGAUUAUGAAUUUUCCAAGUAAUUUUCAUAUUUUUCAAAUUAACCAACAAUUUUCAAUAAUUAUUUCUAUUUAUAAAAACUAUCAUUUAAUAGCUUCAAAUUAGAAAUACUAACUCCACAUACUUAUAUAUCUUAAAAAUAUCAUCAAUAUUAAUUUUAUAUUAUUAUAAUAUUUUCAGCAAAAAUCUUAAUUUUCCACCAUUUAUAGAAUUUUUUAUGAAUUUCCUCUACUUUUAAACUAACCAUAAAUAGUUUAAAUAUAUAAUAAAUAUUUCUGUUAUUCAAUAAUUUUCCAAAACUAUCCAGAAAUUAUAAAAUAACAUUAUAAGAUUUUUCACCAAAUUUCAUAAUUUUUCAUCAUUCAUGGAAUAUUCUAUGAAUUUCUUCUAUUUUCAAACUAACUAUAAUUAGUUUAAAAAUACAAUAAUUACUUCUGCUUUUCAAUAAUUCAUCAAAAAUUUACAGAAAUUCUAAGAUGAUAUAAUAAGUAUUCUGUAAAAAUAUUUCAACCCAAAUCAUUUUUCUGAUAAUUUAAUUAUAAACUCCAAUAUUCAGAAAUUUCAAUAAUUCAUAAUAAUUAUUCUUUUAUCAGAAAAAUAAGGAUCUUAUGCCCUUUCCAUGUAAAAUUUAAUUCUCUACAACUUUGUAGAAGAAAGUUUUCCCAAAUUCUGACUCUAACAUAGAGAUAUAUUCUUACCGAAAAAUUAUGCUUGAAGAUUUCCGAACCAGCCACCUCACAAAAUUCAUAACAAAUCAUAAAUUAAUCUUUAACGGUUCAAAAUUUGCAGACAUAUACUUAACUUAUAUAUGUAUAACAUAUACAAAAAUCACAACGAUCCAACGGUCGGAUUAACAAUUAUAACUCACACAAUAGAGCUUAAUAAAACUAAUUUUUUGGACUAUAAGUCAUUCGGACAAGUUCUACUCAAACUACUCAAACUGUCACCACGAAAAAUCUACAAAGAAUUUUUGGGUGAUUCAAAUUUCUGUAGUUAGCUUACUUCCAGGGCUUUCUUUUGAUAUAUGGCUCAUCUCCUAACUCAUUAUACACAAAGAGUUAUGGAUUUUACAAAAUCAAGUAGUAAACUAGUUUUUUGAAAAUCUCCAUAUUUUGUUCUUCAUUUGAUUUCUAGAUUUCUCUCACUUGACUCAUGUUUAUACAAGUUUAAAUCAUUCAAUAAAUACAUAAGUAUGUACUCUUUACAUAAAAUCCAUAAAACUUAAAUCUAAGAAUAAAUCAAGGAUUUAUAAACAUACCUUCUUAAUUUCCUCAAGCUUUUCCAUUACACCCACUUGAUUCUCUCACUGGCUUCUUGGAUAUUUUAUUGGAUGAAGAUAAAUAUGGUGAUCAUAGAAUGAUUAAGGAUGAAGAAGAUAUGAAAUUGUUGAUUUUCUCUUCUUCUUCCUCCUCAUCUCUCUCUCUUUUAUUUCUGAUUUUUUCGUGAGUAGAAAUGGGUGAAUAUCCCAUCUCUUUCUUCUUCUUCUUCUCAUUCUUCUCUCUCUCUCUCUUUCUCUCUUCUCUAUUCUUUUCUCUCCCCUAAUCUAAGCCUCCCGUGAAUGGAAGAAAUGGGG
This 3967-nucleotide long non-coding RNA is filed under the name Panax ginseng (ginseng). RNAcentral describes it as "long non-coding RNA (PGIN_LNC008267)". Lineage: Eukaryota; Viridiplantae; Streptophyta; Magnoliopsida; Apiales; Araliaceae. The record is from RNAcentral.